Limulus polyphemus (Atlantic horseshoe crab) is the source of this 291-nucleotide long non-coding RNA. RefSeq lists it as uncharacterized. NCBI's taxonomy places the organism in Eukaryota, Metazoa, Arthropoda, Merostomata, Xiphosura, Limulidae. The record is from RefSeq and is a predicted model, not a curated record. The transcript is spliced from 4 exons.
GUAAUUCACAAACAAACAUGAAAAACUUAUAUUUCUGCACAGCUCCAAGAAGUCUCACUUGCAAGUGAUACAAUUGUGCUUCAACAACCGAAAGCAAUACCAAGACCACAUGGUACAACAAACAUUAAAACCUGUAAGACAACCUCUUUACCGCAGUCAUCAACAGCAGAGUCUUCAGUGGACCUCUUAGGUCUAGAUGUUCCUAAAACAGAUACAGCUUCAGUGGAUCUUUUAGGUCUAGAUACAGCUGAUGACCCAUUUGAUUGUUUGGUGACAACAUCAGCAUCUAAC